This 461-nucleotide ribosomal RNA is filed under the name uncultured Planctomycetaceae bacterium. Its description in RNAcentral is "bacterial SSU rRNA". It matches the Rfam family "Bacterial small subunit ribosomal RNA", at positions 29 to 505 of the family's 1533-position model. The record is from RNAcentral. Lineage: Bacteria; Pseudomonadati; Planctomycetota; Planctomycetia; Planctomycetales; Planctomycetaceae.
AAUGAACGUUAGCGGCGUGGAUUAGGCAUGCAAGUCGAGCGAGAAGCUUUUAAAAGAUACUUCGGUUGAUUUUAAAAGUGGACAGCGGCGAAAGGGAGAGUAACGAGUAGAUCACGUACCCAAGGGUCCGGGAUAGCUGCGGGAAACUGCAGGUAAUACCGGAUAAUGUUUCCGAACCAAAGAUUUAUUGCCCUUGGAUCGGUCUGCUUACUAUUAGCUUGUUGGUGGGGUAAUGGCCUACCAAGGCGAAGAUGGUUAGCGGGUGUGAGAGCAUGGCCCGUCUCACUGGAACUGAGACACUGUCCAGACACCUACGGGUGGCUGCAGUCGAGAAUCUUCCGCAAUGGACGAAAGUCUGACGGAGCGACGCCGCGUGAUGGAUGAAGGCCCUCGGGUUGUAAACAUCUGUCGUAGGGGAGGAAAUUUUGACCGAUCCUAGGAGGAAGCACAGGCUAAGUUCG